Pyrus x bretschneideri (Chinese white pear) is the source of this 1922-nucleotide long non-coding RNA. RefSeq lists it as uncharacterized. The transcript has 2 exons. The record is from RefSeq and is a predicted model, not a curated record. NCBI's taxonomy places the organism in Eukaryota, Viridiplantae, Streptophyta, Magnoliopsida, Rosales, Rosaceae.
UCUCAAAUUCUUUAAGAUCAAUUUUUAAUUGAAUACAUCUGGAAUGUUAUAAACUUCUUUAAAAUCCUAAUUGAAUACAUCAGGAUUUCUAAGGAUUUUAAUAAAUUAUCUUAAAAUUCUGAUUGAAUACUUCUAAAUCCAUUAAAAGAAUUAAAAUCUUUCAAAAUCCCAAUUGAAUACACCGUCUUUAGUUAAGGGUAAAAUUGGCUUAUUUGGAGCAAGAAAAAGGUAAGAAAAUAGAAGCACAAAACGAAAUUGCUGAGAAAUUUCCUAUAGACAAUGUUGUUUGAUCCAACAAAAAAAAACAACCACCGAGUUCACUCGUUGCAAACCUUCCAUGAAAAUAAGACACUAAAUUUGCGGCAUCUCAAACAUAGUUUUAUGAAUUGGUUCGAGACACGAACACCUUUGACGGUUUUGUCUGUCUCUUUUGUCGCACUUGUAGCAAAACAUUUGUCCCUCCCAAGUAUGAACACUUGAAAUAUAAAUCGAGUACGACAAAAUAGAGAGAGAGAGUGUGGGGAACAGGUGGAAUGGCACCGACUCUAGCAACUUGAGCCAGCUUCGUUCGAGGUUUCUUUUUCUCUUCUUUUUUGGGUUAAAAGUUAAAAGAAUGCAGUUGUUCCAGCACUCAGUCAGUCUCGUCUCAAUACUUAUGUUGCCUCGGUUUUUGCUGUAUCCCAAGGUUUUAUUAGUCAAAGUGUUAAUACUGAUAAUGUUAGCGAGAAACACCUAAAGAAUUGGAUUACGGGAGAAAAUCAGUCACUUGUCGUGCAAUCGGAUGCAAUAAGCAUGCCACUGCAUUUGAGGUAGACAACGACGCUUCAUAUUCUAUGAAACCGUCCGCUGUUUCUGUCAUAGAUACUGCGAAGAAUACGGUGCCCCCACAUUUAACAAUAGAAGGGUUGGAGCAUUCUUCUAUCUGCCCCCUCCUCCGCAUGCGGCGUUAAGACUCAUGAGCUGUAGUUAAUUUUUGAGUGUGACAUUUAACACAUCCGAUCUCAUGAGUCUAAUGUCGUAUACGAAGAAAAAAGAUGAAAGAAGUAUGAUAGGGGUAGAGCUCUUCGGCUAGAUCUGAUUCGGAAAUAGCCCGCACUUAGUGUGAUCCUGUAUAAUAACGAACGGAACACUAGCUAUAUGCUUAACACAUCUAUCUUGGCUUGGUUUUAAAUUAUUCGUGCAGGCCGGCCAAAUGUUAGAACUUUGCAAUGUGUGUAUUGCUAUCGAAACUUCCCUUGUAACAACCACGGGAUGGUCCAAUGGUUGGGAAAGAAGUUCAGGUUCGUAUUCCACACGACACGUUCUGAGUUUGAUUCCUGACGCUCGUGAAUCAAACGAUGGUAGUCAGGCAAGGUUGAAAGACUCCAGUGAGUCUUUCUGACCCCCUCAAAAGGUGGAUUGUCGUGGUUAAGCCACCAGCUGGUCCUCUUUUUAAAGAAAAAAAAUUUUAAAAACAUAAAAUUUUACAUUUGUUAGAAAGUAGCAUUUGGACAGGAAAAUCCAUUUAGACAACUCACCACAAUGUCAACUUCUUAGAUGGUUGACAAGGAGAAAAUUUGAAUUGUGUGGAGAGAGAGAGAUACACACUUGUAUGUAUCGAGUGGUAGAAAUUAAACAUCUUGUAUCCAGUGAUAGAAUGAUUGUUUAAUGAAGAAAAUAACAGACACAUAAUUGCAUACAACAGAUCAGGAAAAAGAUAUUCAUGGCCGGUUGUAUACAAGUGGAUAAGGAUCGCAAGAGAUAUUGGCCACACUCGUUCGGCCUGUCAACCUUGACAAGUCUAAAGAGGCUUUCUGCUACCACAAUCAUCUGUUGGGCCCGUUUGAUGUAUACUGGAUCGGUUCACAGAUGGACUUUAAACAAAAGCAGAAGUCCCACAAAGCACAAGCACAACCAUUUGAAUAUAGACUGCUUUUAUUUCC